This 253-nucleotide ribosomal RNA is filed under the name uncultured Eubacteriales bacterium. RNAcentral's name for it is "uncultured Clostridiales bacterium partial 16S ribosomal RNA". It matches the Rfam family "Bacterial small subunit ribosomal RNA", at positions 524 to 776 of the family's 1533-position model. Lineage: Bacteria; Bacillati; Bacillota; Clostridia; Eubacteriales. The record is from RNAcentral.
UACGGAGGGGGCAAGCGUUAUCCGGAUUUACUGGGUGUAAAGGGAGCGUAGACGGCUGUGCAAGUCUGGAGUGAAAGGCAUGGGCUCAACCUGUGGACUGCUUUGGAAACUGUGCAGCUUGAGUGUUGGAGAGGCAGGCGGAAUUCCGUGUGUAGCGGUGAAAUGCGUAGAUAUACGGAGGAACACCAGUGGCGAAGGCGGCCUGCUGGACAAUAACUGACGCUGAGGCGCGAAAGCGUGGGGAGCAAACAGG